Molecule: ribosomal RNA, 465 nt
Filed under: Vreelandella stevensii
Lineage: Bacteria; Pseudomonadati; Pseudomonadota; Gammaproteobacteria; Oceanospirillales; Halomonadaceae
Description: partial 16S ribosomal RNA
Rfam family: Bacterial small subunit ribosomal RNA
Source: RNAcentral
CCUACGGGUGGCUGCAGUGGGGAAUAUUGGACAAUGGGGGGAACCCUGAUCCAGCCAUGCCGCGUGUGUGAAGAAGGCCCUCGGGUUGUAAAGCACUUUCAGUGAGGAAGAACGCCUGGUGGUUAAUACCCAUCAGGAAAGACAUCACUCACAGAAGAAGCACCGGCUAACUCCGUGCCAGCAGCCGCGGUAAUACGGAGGGUGCGAGCGUUAAUCGGAAUUACUGGGCGUAAAGCGCGCGUAGGUGGCUUGAUAAGCCGGUUGUGAAAGCCCCGGGCUCAACCUGGGAACGGCAUCCGGAACUGUCAAGCUAGAGUGCAGGAGAGGAAGGUAGAAUUCCCGGUGUAGCGGUGAAAUGCGUAGAGAUCGGGAGGAAUACCAGUGGCGAAGGCGGCCUUCUGGACUGACACUGACACUUAGGUGCGAAAGCGUGGGUAGCAAACAGGAUUAGAUACCCCAGUAGUC